This 230-nucleotide long non-coding RNA is filed under the name Elaeis guineensis (African oil palm). RNAcentral's name for it is "long non-coding RNA (EGUI_LNC015662)". The record is from RNAcentral. Lineage: Eukaryota; Viridiplantae; Streptophyta; Magnoliopsida; Arecales; Arecaceae.
CUAUUUUAUAUCCUUCCUUUCAUCUAUGUAUUCUUUCCUACAGAAUAUAUGCUUAAGGGUGAUAAAUGUGUCACAAUGGAGAAAUGCAAACCCUUUAUUCAGUUUGUAUUUUAUAGGUGGGUGUUAGAUUUGAUACUAAAAGCUUUGAUACAUGGUAUCUAAGUCGUGUUGCUUUAAGGUGGAACACUUCUCAAAAAAACCCACUCAAAUGGCUGUGAGAAUCCAACUAG